RNAcentral lists this unclassified non-coding RNA (1281 nucleotides) under Metazoa environmental sample. RNAcentral describes it as "sequence contains 18S rRNA gene, ITS1, 5.8S rRNA gene, ITS2, 28S rRNA gene". The stretch from base 412 to 1281 matches the Rfam family "Eukaryotic large subunit ribosomal RNA", at positions 1 to 961 of the family's 3401-position model. Lineage: Eukaryota; Metazoa. The record is from RNAcentral.
GGAAGGAUCAUAUGGUUGAAACUUCUAAGUUUGGAUGUGAACUGCAACCAUAUCCCUUUGGGGUAUGGCCGAGUAAAACCCGCUCCCUUCGGGGAAAAGCCUAAACAGUGUCGGGAAGUUGGUUGUGCCCGGGGGAAAUCAAACCCCUAGCGAUGGAUGGCUCGACUCCUGAAUCGAAGAAGAUCACAAUGAAAUGUGAAAAGCAUUAUCAUUCGUAGAUCCUCUGACGGUGAUAGAUUAUCGAACGUUGAAAACUCUCCAAAAGAGAGUAUACUUGUCUCAGAGGCAGCUGGUAUGCCCUAUUUCAAUUGGGGAAUAGUGCGUGAGUGAUUAUCCUAGAUGGAUGAAUUAAGUGAAAGUAACUCUUGGUCCAAUAGUCUUAUUGGGAUAAGAGGACCCUCUAGUUUGGCAAAGCCAUGAGUCAAGUAAGGCAACCUGCUAAAUUUAAGCAUAUAAAUAAGCAGAGGAAAAGAAAUUAACUAAGAUAUUCCUAGUAAUGGCGAAUGAAAGGAAUAGAGCCCAAUUUGAAAAUUACUAGUUUACUAGUAAAUUGUAGUCUAAGGGUUUGCAAAGAUAACGAGCCAUGGGAGUACUUCCCUGGAAAGGGAAAGGAAAGAGGGUGAAACUCCCUUUUGCUUCUAUGUUUAGUUACCAAUUGCAUUCCUGUGAGUCGUACUCUUUCUGAGUAGAGUAUGAAUAGGUGAUACAUUUCAUCUAAGGCUAAAUAUGACCAGGAGAUCGAUAGUUCAAAAGUACCGUGAGGGAAAGCUGAAAAUAACUUUGAAAAGAAAGUUAAAAGAAACUGAAAUCGCUGGGGGGAAGCAGUUAAAGAGCCUGUCUUGGUAGAGCUUAGCUCUAUAUCGGAGUCUGAGCAUUGCUGCGCUAUUUUGGGUCUGCUAUAGAAUUUUAUCUGUAAAGGUCGAAGGCUAUAUGCAAACCUAAUCUAUCAACAAUGUUUUAGAUAGGGGAGCUUUAAUUGACCCGUCUUGAAACACGGACCAAGGAGUCUAACAUAUGUGCAAGUUUAUGGGUAGAAGACCCUAAGGCGAAACGAAAGUGAUAACCAUGAUGUGAAAACUGCAAUGGUGACAUCUCUUAACUUGUUAAGAGUUUGUAUGAGCAUAUAUGUUAAGACCCGAAAGAUGGUGAACUAUGCUUGAGUUGGGUGAAGCCAGGGGAAACUCUGGUGGAGGCUCGUAGCGAUACUGACGUGCAAAUCGUUCGUCAAACUUGAGUAUAGGGGCGAAAGACUAAUCGAACCAUCUAGUAGCUGGUUCCCUC